GUUCUUGCCACAAAAAUUAAUCAGUGCAGCGUACUUAACGACCACCACGGCCACGACCGCGUCCACGUCCACGGCCACGUCCCCUUCCCACAGCCCUCCCUGAAAUUUUAAAAGGUAAAAGCAAUUAGAAGAUUCAUGACAUUUAUUCACAAUAUCAAAGAUCGUAAAAUGGUAAAAACUUUGUUCUCAAAAGAAAGGCCUAAUACAAGGUUGUCUUACCUGCAGUUGGCUUCUUGGGCUUGACCCUAGGAGUCUCUUCAACCAGCAGAGUCUCAAGAUUCAAGCUGUCAGGAAGGAUGUAGUAUCGAAUAUUGUUACCCCUCACACUGAGAUGAUCAAGAGUCACUGGAUUCUUCCCCCUGAGUGUAAGUUUC
RNAcentral lists this long non-coding RNA (374 nucleotides) under Fragaria vesca (wild strawberry). RNAcentral describes it as "long non-coding RNA (FVES_LNC000755)". The record is from RNAcentral. Lineage: Eukaryota; Viridiplantae; Streptophyta; Magnoliopsida; Rosales; Rosaceae.